AAAUCCUGAGAGCUGAGCACAACUUGACUUUGUCUGUAGCUGGUCUCCACUGAUAUCACAGAAUCACUUCUCUUCUCCAGAGCAGCAGGGAGGAACUUGACUCAGAGCAAGGGCAGUGGAAGGAAAGAACAAAGAAGGUGGAGAAGAUGGAGUCCUUUUAUACCUGAAUUCAGGGUAAGACAUUUUUUUUUAAUUCUGUAGACAGCAGAUAAUUUUUCAUUCUUACUUUGCUGGAAAACCCAUCUUCGAUUUUUAGAGGCUAAUUUGGGGGACAGCAAAACCUGACUGAAUUUCCCAGUUAUUUCUACAAUC
This 312-nucleotide long non-coding RNA is filed under the name Corvus moneduloides (New Caledonian crow). RNAcentral's name for it is "lncRNA (ENSCMUG00000018878.1)". The record is from RNAcentral. Lineage: Eukaryota; Metazoa; Chordata; Aves; Passeriformes; Corvidae.